This is a non-coding RNA of Myodes glareolus (Bank vole), 1975 nucleotides long. NCBI's taxonomy places the organism in Eukaryota, Metazoa, Chordata, Mammalia, Rodentia, Cricetidae. The record is from RefSeq and is a predicted model, not a curated record.
UUUAUAGCGCUGCCAACCAGGACCCGGGCAGGUGUGUCUGUGGCUGGAGAGAAGAGGCCUAGCUCAGGUUGCUAAUAGCAACAGGCACAGCUCUGGCUUUCAGCCGCAGGAAGUCACGUCCAUGCCAGGCUAGUAUCAGCAACAGAGACAGACAGCCCAUCGACCAGUCACCAUGUGACAUACAUUCACAUUCAUCCAAAUGUUGCGGGCGUUCCCGUCGCUGCUCCAGCUGCGUCUUCUAACCUUGCUCUCAUACCUUAGCGACCACGGGUGGCGCUCUCCAAGCAGCGUGUCUAGAAUCCAAAGUAGACUUCCUUGAGAGCCACUUGUGAGAGAAGGCGUCCUCUGUGGCCUAACUGGACCAACAGAAGAGCAGAAGUCACUGGGCGAGCUGUCUGCAAACCAUCCCUACCCCUCUGUCCGGGAGUGUCUCUCGGAGAGAGAGAACAUCGCUUACCAUCGGUCAUUUCUAACUGCGCGAGCAUCCAGAUGGGAGGCCCUUCCAAAAGCAUGCUGCUCCUGAUUAACUUACCUUUCCACACAUGCAAGAAAUUAGGUCAGGCCAUGGAUGGGAGAAGAGAUAAGGACCAAGUCUGAGGAGGCUCGUGGAGCGUGCACUGUUGAGCAGAAUCCUUAAAGUCCUCGCAAAGGUGAGGUUGUGUGACUUCAAUGGGGCUGAAUGGUCACUUCAGCUGGUCCAGAGGUAAGAGAGGACUCCAGCUACCCAAGUCCUCACCCCCAUUCCCAGGGCCCCACUCUUUUACUAUUAUAUUCUGAGUAUGGCGUGGCAGAGUUGCUAGGGUUCAGAAUCAGUGUCUUUGGGGCCUUAGCAUUCUGCCUCCAUCCUCCGUGUCUCCUGCUCCCUAGCUGAGAGGGAUUUACCUCUGAAUAUGCCAGCUUAGGUUACUACAACAUAAGCUAUAGAUGGGUGCCUUUGGGGGAAUAUAGUUGUUUCUCAGUAUGGAGUCUACAGGUUCAGCCCAGGUGCUGGUUAUCUUCCCGAGGGAAGCUUUCUGGACGGCUUCCAGGCCACGGGCUCCCCACAGUGUCCUCCUGAGGAGAGAGUGAGGUCUAGAGUGUCCCUGUCCUUUUGGGUAGGGGCACUGAUCUCAUCAGGACAAAGCCUUACUCUCAGAGCCACAGAGCUUCCAAAGGCCCCGACACCCAGUUCCAUCGCAAAGACAGGCAUGAGUUCCUUCUGUGAGUUUGGGGAGCCACGUUAAGUGCACAGCAGAAGCCUGAUGUUGACCCUUGCGGAUUUCCUUUCCCUUCUCUGACGCAUGAGUCCCAAUCUUGGCACUGUGGGUGUGUGUACUCCUCCUGGGAGAAGGAGUGCCUGUGCAUCUCUGGCUCUUCAUCAUCAGCUGCCAACACAAUGCCCCUCCCCCACUUCAGCCCCCAAAAGUCAAAUAUCUCUAGAAUCCAUUAAAUAUUCCCUUGGAAGCAAAAUGCAGUGUUGUACAGCCCAUCAUUCUAGCACACUAAAGCCUCAGCAAGGAACACCAGAUGGCAUGGUGCUGAGACCCCUGCUAUCCUGUGGUCUACAUGCCCUACAAACACCAAAAUGCUCCCCCACUCUCGUGGUGUGAGUGUGUGUGUAUGGGGGGGUGUACAUGGGUGUGGAGGCCAAAGGUCAAUAAUGGGUGUCUUUUUAAAUGGCUCUCCACUUUAUUUUUUGAGAGAGGGCCUUUUGUUGAACCCGAGAACUCACCAGUUUGGCUAGGGUGGCUGGCAGUCGGGAUGGGGAGUCCAGGUGACUCGCCGGCUGAGCCAUCUCCCCAGUUCUUAUGUCUGAGUUCUUAUAUGUCUGCACCAGCCCAUCACUGUGUGGGGCCACCACAUAGACAGGUCCUGGUGAGUGACAGUUCUACAGUGAUGGGCCUCGAGGUCAGAAAACCGACAGCAGUAGGGGCAAUUGUGUCACUGCCAGCUCUGUGGACACCUGAGAAUGUCCACAUUCUCAGAAUCUGGUGAA